AAGAGUUUAGUUUAUAUUUAAAAUAUUAAAUUGUAAAUUUAAAGUUUUUUACUCUUG
This 57-nucleotide transfer RNA is filed under the name Strongyloides stercoralis. RNAcentral's name for it is "tRNA-Tyr". Lineage: Eukaryota; Metazoa; Nematoda; Chromadorea; Rhabditida; Strongyloididae. The record is from RNAcentral.